RNAcentral lists this ribosomal RNA (1386 nucleotides) under Lepidostoma longipilosum. RNAcentral's name for it is "16S ribosomal RNA". The record is from RNAcentral. Lineage: Eukaryota; Metazoa; Arthropoda; Insecta; Trichoptera; Lepidostomatidae.
AAUUUAAAAUUUAAUAAUAAAAUAAUAAUUAUUUAAAAUUUUUAAUAAAAUUUAUAAUAAGUAAAAUAAUAUUAAUACAAAUUUAUUUUAGUAAAAUGUAAAAAGAAAAAAUAUUUUUAUUGACAGUUUAAUAGUAAUGUAAAAGAAAAUAUUAAAAAUUAAAUUACUUAUAAAAUAAAUAAAUUUUGUAUUUUGUGUAUCAAAGAUUAUUUAAAAAAAAUUUUAUAGAAAAAAUUUUUUAGAAAAUUAAAGAGUUAAUAAAGUUAUUAUAUUAGUUAUUGUAAAAUAAAUAUUAAAAAUAAUUUAUUGGAAAUGAAAUUUUAAGCGAUUUAAUUAUUAUCUAAUUUUUUAAGAAAUAAAUUUAAUUUAUUUAUUUUAUAAUAGAAAUUAUAGUAAAAUUAAAAAUUUAAUUUUUUUUAAUUUAAUAAUAUUAAAUGGGAUAAGCUAUUUAAUAAACUUAUAAAUAAUAAAAAAAUAUUAAAAUUUAUAAAAAUAAAAUUAUUUAUUAAAUUUAUUUUAUUAUAAAAAAUUUUAAAUUAAAAAAAAAAAUUUUAAUUUAUAAAAUUAUUAAUUAAAUUUAUUAAAAUAUUAAUUUAAAUUAAUUAAAUUAAUUAUUUAUAAUAAUAUUAGUAUAUAAAAAUAAAAGUAUUAAUAUUUUACUUAUGAAAAAUUAAAUUUUAGAAUUCGGCAAAAAUUUAUAUUCGCUUGUUUAACAAAAACAUGUCUUUUUGAUUAAUAAUUUAAAGUCUAAUCUGCCCCCUGAAGUUAAAUUUAAAGGGCUGCAGUAUUUUAACUGUACAAAGGUAGCAUAAUAAAUAGGUUUUUAAUUGGAAUCUAGAAUGAAUGAUUGGACGAAAUAUAGUCUUUUUUAAUUUAAAAAUUUAUAAAAUUUUAUUUUUUAGUAAAAAAACUAAAAUAAAUUUAAAAGACGAGAAGACCCUAUAAAUCUUAAUAAUUAAUAAUUUAUUUAAAAGAUUAUAUUAAAAAUUAAUUAAAUAAUUUGAUUAUUUUAUUGGGGUGAUAAAAAAAUUAAAAAACUUUUUUAAAAUAAAAAUUUAGAUAAAAAAUUUUUAAAAAUUUGAAUUAUUAAGAAUUUUAAUAAUAAAAAGAAAAGAUACUUUAGGGAUAACAGCGUAAUUUUAAUUUUAAGUUCUUAUUAAAAUUAAAGAUUGCGACCUCGAUGUUGGAUUAAAAUUAAUUUUAAAUGUAAAAGUUUAAAUAUUAAGUCUGUUCGACUUUUAAAAUUUUACAUGAUCUGAGUUCAAACCGGUGUAAGCCAGGUUGGUUUCUAUCUUUAAUAAAAAUAAAUUUUUUAGUACGAAAGGAAUAUAAAUUUAAAAUAGAUUUUUUUAGAAUAAGAAUAAAAAUAAAAUAAUAUUUAUGAAA